RNAcentral lists this ribosomal RNA (253 nucleotides) under uncultured bacterium. Its description in RNAcentral is "partial 16S ribosomal RNA". It matches the Rfam family "Bacterial small subunit ribosomal RNA", at positions 524 to 776 of the family's 1533-position model. The record is from RNAcentral.
UACGUAGGUGGCGAGCGUUGUCCGGAUUUAUUGGGCGUAAAGAGCUCGUAGGCGGUUUGUCGCGUCGUUCGUGAAAACUCACAGCUUAACUGUGAGCUUGCGGUCGAUACGGGCAGGCUAGAGUUCGGUAGGGGAGACUGGAAUUCCUGGUGUAGCGGUGAAAUGCGCAGAUAUCAGGAGGAACACCGGUGGCGAAGGCGGGUCUCUGGGCCGAUACUGACGCUGAGGAGCGAAAGCGUGGGGAGCGAACAGG